Molecule: Y RNA, 96 nt
Filed under: Propithecus coquereli (Coquerel's sifaka)
Lineage: Eukaryota; Metazoa; Chordata; Mammalia; Primates; Indriidae
Description: Y RNA (ENSPCOG00000007694.1)
Rfam family: Y RNA
About the family: Y RNAs are components of the Ro ribonucleoprotein particle (Ro RNP), in association with Ro60 and La proteins. The Y RNAs and Ro60 and La proteins are well conserved, but the function of the Ro RNP is not known.
Source: Rfam by way of RNAcentral
GGCUGGUCUGAUGGUAGUGGGUUAUUAAAACUUAUUAACACUAGUGUCACUGAAGUUGGCAUACAACCCCUCACUGCUAAAUUUGACAGGCUUAAA